This 72-nucleotide transfer RNA is filed under the name Marmota monax (woodchuck). RNAcentral describes it as "tRNA.Ala". The record is from RNAcentral. Lineage: Eukaryota; Metazoa; Chordata; Mammalia; Rodentia; Sciuridae.
GGGGUUGUGGCUCUGAGGUAGAGCACCCACCUAGCAUGUGUGAGGCACUGGGUUUGAUUCUCAGCAUCACAU